CCUACGGGUGGCAGCAGUGAGGAAUAUUGGUCAAUGGUCGGGAGACUGAACCAGCCAAGCCGCGUGAGGGAGGAAGGUACAGAGUAUCGUAAACUUCUUUUGUCAGGGAACAAAGACUGGGACGCGUCCCCGGAUGAGUGUACCUGAAGAAAAAGCAUCGGCUAAAUCCGUGCCAGCAGCCGCGGUAAUACGGAGGAUUCUAGCGUUAUCCGGAUUUAUUGGGUGAAAGGGGGGCGCAGGCGGUCUGACAAGGCAGCGGUAAAAGCCCGGGGCUCAACCCCGGCGCGCCGUUGAAACUGGCAGUCUGGAGUUGGAGAGAAGUAUGCGGAAUGCGCGGUGUAGCGGUGAAAUGCAUAGAUAUCGCGCAGAACUCCGAUUGCGAAGGCAGCAUGCCGGCUCCCAACUGACGCUGAGGCACGAAAGCGUGGGUAUCGAACAGGAUUAGAUACCCGAGUAGUC
RNAcentral lists this ribosomal RNA (459 nucleotides) under uncultured bacterium. Its description in RNAcentral is "partial 16S ribosomal RNA". It matches the Rfam family "Bacterial small subunit ribosomal RNA", at positions 338 to 795 of the family's 1533-position model. The record is from RNAcentral.